UGCAAGUCGAACGGAAUCCCUCGGGAUUUAGUGGCGGACGGGUGAGUAACACGUAAGAACCUGCCUCUAGGACGGGGACAACAGUUGGAAACGACUGCUAAACCCGGAUGAGCCGAAAGGUAAAAGAUUUAUCGCCUAGAGAGGGGCUUGCGUCUGAUUAGCUAGUUGGUAAGGUAAAAGCUUACCAAGGCGACGAUCAGUAGCUGGUCUGAGAGGAUGAUCAGCCACACUGGGACUGAGACACGGCCCAGACUCCUACGGGAGGCAGCAGUGGGGAAUUUUCCGCAAUGGGCGAAAGCCUGACGGAGCAAGACCGCGUGGGGGAGGAAGGUUCUUGGAUUGUCAACCCCUUUUCUCAGGGAAGAACACAAUGACGGUACCUGAGGAAAAAGCAUCGGCUAACUCCGUGCCAGCAGCCGCGGUAAUACGGGGGAUGCAAGCGUUAUCCGGAAUGAUUGGGCGUAAAGAGUCCGUAGGUAGUCAAUCAAGUCUGCUGUUAAAGAGCGAGGCUUAACUUCGUAAAGGCAGUGGAAACUGAUAGACUAGAGUGUAGUAGGGGCAGAGGGGAUUCCUGGUGUAGCGGUGAAAUGCGUAGAGAUCAGGAAGAACACCGGUGGCGAAGGCGCUCUGCUGGGCUAUAACUGACACUGAGGGACGAAAGCUAGGGGAGCGAAUGGGAUUAGAUACCCCAGUAGUCCUAGCGGUAAACGAUGGAAACUAGGUGUGGCCUGUAUCGACCCGAGCCGUGCCGAAGC
Molecule: ribosomal RNA, 755 nt
Filed under: cyanobacterium enrichment culture clone 5_RT_5.2.3_B06-T7
Lineage: Bacteria; Bacillati; Cyanobacteriota
Description: bacterial SSU rRNA
Rfam family: Bacterial small subunit ribosomal RNA
Source: RNAcentral